UGAGGAUUAUUGGUCAAUGGACGAGAGUCUGAACCAGCCAAGUAGCGUGCAGGAUGACGGCCCUAUGGGUUGUAAACUGCUUUUGUUUGGGAAUAAUCGACAUUACGUGUAAUGUUUUGCAUGUACCAUACGAAUAAGGACCGGCUAAUUCCGUGCCAGCAGCCGCGGUAAUACGGAAGGUCCAGGCGUUAUCCGGAUUUAUUGGGUUUAAAGGGAGCGUAGGCUGUUUGUUAAGCGUGUUGUGAAAUGUAAGAGCUCAACUUUUAGAUUGCAGCGCGAACUGGCAGACUUGAGUGCGCACAACGUAGGCGGAAUUCAUGGUGUAGCGGUGAAAUGCGUAGAUAUCAUGACGAACUCCGAUUGCGAAGGCAGCUUACGGGAGCGCAACUGACGCUAAAGCUCGAAAGUGCGGGUAUCGAACAGG
RNAcentral lists this ribosomal RNA (424 nucleotides) under Verrucomicrobiota bacterium. Its description in RNAcentral is "Verrucomicrobia bacterium partial 16S ribosomal RNA". It matches the Rfam family "Bacterial small subunit ribosomal RNA", at positions 355 to 776 of the family's 1533-position model. The record is from RNAcentral. Lineage: Bacteria; Pseudomonadati; Verrucomicrobiota.